Molecule: ribosomal RNA, 497 nt
Filed under: uncultured bacterium
Lineage: Bacteria
Description: partial 16S ribosomal RNA
Rfam family: Bacterial small subunit ribosomal RNA
Source: RNAcentral
GAUGAACGCUGGCGGCGUGCCUAAUACAUGCAAGUCGAGCGAACAGACGAGGAGUUUGCUCCUCUGACGUUAGCGGCGGACGGGUGAGUAACACGUGGAUAACCUACCUAUAAGACUGGGAUAACUUCGGGAAACCGGAGCUAAUACCGGAUAAUAUAUUGAACCGCAUGGUUCAAUAGUGAAAGACGGUUUUGCUGUCACUUAUAGAUGGAUCCGCGCCGCAUUAGCUAGUUGGUAAGGUAACGGCUUACCAAGGCAAUGAUGCGUAGCCGACCUGAGAGGGUGGUCGGCCACACGGGAGCUGAGACACGGACCAGACUCCUACGGGAGGCAGCAGUAGGGAAUCUUCCGCAAUGGGCGAAAGCCUGACGGAGCAACGCCGCGUGAGUGAUGAAGGUCUUCGGAUCGUAAAGCUCUGUUAUUAGGGGAGAACAAAUGUGUAAGUAACUAUGCACGUCUUGACGGUACCUAAUCAGAAAGCCACGGCUAACUACGUG